Molecule: ribosomal RNA, 253 nt
Filed under: uncultured bacterium
Lineage: Bacteria
Description: partial 16S ribosomal RNA
Rfam family: Bacterial small subunit ribosomal RNA
Source: RNAcentral
UACGUAGGGUGCAAGCGUUGUCCGGAAUUAUUGGGCGUAAAGAGCUCGUAGGCGGUCUGUCGCGUCGGCUGUGAAAACCCGAGGCUCAACCUCGGGCCUGCAGUCGAUACGGGCAAACUAGAGUACUGCAGGGGAGACUGGAAUUCCUAGUGUAGCGGUGAAAUGCGCAGAUAUCAGGAGGAACACCGGUGGCGAAGGCGGGUCUCUGGGCAGUAACUGACGCUGAGGAGCGAAAGCCAGGGGAGCAAACGGG